GACGAACGCUGGCGGCGUGCUUAACACAUGCAAGUCGAACGGAAAGGCCCUGCUUUUGUGGGGUGCUCGAGUGGUGAACGGGUGAGUAACACGUGAGUAACCUGCCCUUGACUUUGGGAUAACUUCAGGAAACUGGGGCUAAUACCGGAUAGGAGCUCCUGCUGCAUGGUGGGGGUUGGAAAGUUUCGGCGGUUGGGGAUGGACUCGCGGCUUAUCAGCUUGUUGGUGGGGUAGUGGCUUACCAAGGCUUUGACGGGUAGCCGGCCUGAGAGGGUGACCGGCCACAUUGGGACUGAGAUACGCCCAGACUCCUACGGGAGGCAGCAGUGGGGAAUAUUGCACAAUGGGCGGAAGCCUGAUGCAGCAACGCCGCGUGCGGGAUGACGGCCUUCGGGUUGUAAACCGCUUUCGCCUGUGACGAAGCGUGAGUGACGGUAAUGGGUAAAGAAGCACCGGCUAACUACGUG
This 467-nucleotide ribosomal RNA is filed under the name uncultured bacterium. RNAcentral's name for it is "partial 16S ribosomal RNA". It matches the Rfam family "Bacterial small subunit ribosomal RNA", at positions 28 to 507 of the family's 1533-position model. The record is from RNAcentral.